CUGGCGGCAGGCCUAACACAUGCAAGUCGAGCGGAUGACGGGAGCUUGCUCCUUGAUUCAGCGGCGGACGGGUGAGUAAUGCCUAGGAAUCUGCCUGGUAGUGGGGGACAACGUUUCGAAAGGAACGCUAAUACCGCAUACGUCCUACGGGAGAAAGCAGGGGACCUUCGGGCCUUGCGCUAUCAGAUGAGCCUAGGUCGGAUUAGCUAGUUGGUGGGGUAAUGGCUCACCAAGGCGACGAUCCGUAACUGGUCUGAGAGGAUGAUCAGUCACACUGGAACUGAGACACGGUCCAGACUCCUACGGGAGGCAGCAGUGGGGAAUAUUGGACAAUGGGCGAAAGCCUGAUCCAGCCAUGCCGCGUGUGUGAAGAAGGUCUUCGGAUUGUAAAGCACUUUAAGUUGGGAGGAAGGGCAGUAAGUUAAUACCUUGCUGUUUUGACGUUACCGACAGAAUAAGCACCGGCUAACUCUGUGCCAGCAGCCGCGGUA
This 491-nucleotide ribosomal RNA is filed under the name Pseudomonas sp. 8IDINH. RNAcentral's name for it is "bacterial SSU rRNA". It matches the Rfam family "Bacterial small subunit ribosomal RNA", at positions 36 to 522 of the family's 1533-position model. The record is from RNAcentral. Lineage: Bacteria; Pseudomonadati; Pseudomonadota; Gammaproteobacteria; Pseudomonadales; Pseudomonadaceae.